This 468-nucleotide ribosomal RNA is filed under the name Salmonella enterica. Its description in RNAcentral is "partial 23S ribosomal RNA". It matches the Rfam family "Bacterial large subunit ribosomal RNA", at positions 711 to 1176 of the family's 2925-position model. The record is from RNAcentral. Lineage: Bacteria; Pseudomonadati; Pseudomonadota; Gammaproteobacteria; Enterobacterales; Enterobacteriaceae. RNAcentral also lists the same sequence under 3 other names.
AGACCCGAAACCCGGUGAUCUAGCCAUGGGCAGGUUGAAGGUUGGGUAACACUAACUGGAGGACCGAACCGACUAAUGUUGAAAAAUUAGCGGAUGACCUGUGGCUGGGGGUGAAAGGCCAAUCAAACCGGGAGAUAGCUGGUUCUCCCCGAAAGCUAUUUAGGUAGCGCCUCGUGAAUUCAUCUCCGGGGGUAGAGCACUGUUUCGGCUAGGGGGCCAUCCCGGCUUACCAACCCGAUGCAAACUGCGAAUACCGGAGAAUGUUAUCACGGGAGACACACGGCGGGUGCUAACGUCCGUCGUGAAGAGGGAAACAACCCAGACCGCCAGCUAAGGUCCCAAAGUCAUGGUUAAGUGGGAAACGAUGUGGGAAGGCCCAGACAGCCAGGAUGUUGGCUUAGAAGCAGCCAUCAUUUAAAGAAAGCGUAAUAGCUCACUGGUCGAGUCGGCCUGCGCGGAAGAUGUAAC